Molecule: long non-coding RNA, 456 nt
Organism: Prosopis cineraria
Lineage: Eukaryota; Viridiplantae; Streptophyta; Magnoliopsida; Fabales; Fabaceae
Exons: 2
Source: RefSeq, a predicted model, not a curated record
CGGAUAACGACCUCUUGGAUCCUGUUCUCAUUUUAAGUUUUGUUGGGACUUCAUUAAUAAAAUGAUCUUCCUGAGACUUACUUGUCAUCCUCCCUAAUUUUAUAUUCCGGCUCGAUUGUUGGGAUCGGCCUGGCGAAGACUACGACAUCAACCUGCUUGAUUGCCUUUACAUUAAGAAUUUUCCGAUGAAUACUGUGGCUCCAAUGAUCAUGAUCUUGCCUCUCUCGGCCUUUGAAGACGAUGAUGAGUUUCACAAGGCGGGUUAUGUAAGGGAGUGAUCAAACUAUGGAUAAUUUUAUUGGAAUCAAGAGCUCAAUGCGUGGAAAUUCAAAAUUUUAUUGAAUUAUGCCAGUUCUGAUUUUUUUUUUAAAUUAUGAGUAACUUGUUCCAUGACUUUAAUUUGAGAUGUAUAUCCGGACCUAGAGAUAGAAACAUCCACGUUCAUUGCAAGUUUAA